RNAcentral lists this long non-coding RNA (2857 nucleotides) under Mytilus galloprovincialis (Mediterranean mussel). The record is from RNAcentral. Lineage: Eukaryota; Metazoa; Mollusca; Bivalvia; Mytilida; Mytilidae.
UUUUUUUUAUUUCGCUAAAUAGGUUGGCUCAAUUAGAAAAAUCUAAAUAUCUUUUCAAAGGACAAAUAUUAAAUUUGACCUUUUUGUACUGAAAUUGUAACUCAUUAUUGUCAAUUUUGUUGGUAAUGAGACUAUAAUUAUUGCAUCAGAUGAUAACAAUACAACAUUUAAGGCAGUCAAUUGGCAUUUAACAUUUGACGAUAUUCAUUUUUAUCAUUUUUUCGGAAGAUUUGAUGAUAUGAGAUUACAUCUAGUAGUAGCUUGGAUAAUACAGAAAAAAAUUAUGUGUAAUUCACUGCAAAAAAUCAAAAAUGAUAAUUUUAUGAAACGUUUUAACAUUGAGAAAUUUCAAUAGCUAUAUUUCAUGUAAAAUAUGACAAUGCUUAUCCGCAUUCAAGUUUGAAGCAAGGGGUUAACCUUGUCUAGAAUUCAUACUUCCAGUGAAGUUUUACGUACCAAUAUGGAGGGUAUUUAUUUAUUAUUUAUUCUAUCACAGAAUAAGAAUUUUCUGACUAUUUUCUAAGAUUGAAGCUGUGUAUGAUUCAACUGCAGUCAUUCUUGUUAAUUAGAAUACUUAGAGGGAGAAGAAAACUUUUUCAUAUUCAUUUGAGACACAUUUAAUAGGCUUUAUUGUCUACAUAGUAUGAAAGGGAAGAUCAUGUAUUCGUGAAUUUUAUACCAUAUGAUGUAAGAAUAUGAAUAUUCAUGAGUAUGUAUGAAAAUGAAUAUUCAUCAGAUGUAAAUGAAUAUUCAUGAGAAGACCUCACAACAUUGAUAAUGUAUGAAAUCCAUAUUUAUGAUUUGUUUUACUUUGUUUUAAAUUGAAAUCUUGUAUUGUUUUAAUCAAUCCCUAUGUAAAGUGUUAUUAUUAUAUGAUAUGCUCAUAUAAUCAACUCUUAAAAGAUUCCAGUUUAUUCUGGGAAUAUUUUAUGAAUCAAAUCCAUGAGAAAAGAUAAGAUUUUGCAUAUUGUGAAAUCUGACAGGUAAGGGAAAUAACUCUUUUAAGUUCUAUUGUCUCCUUGUAAACUACUUAUAUGUCCCUGUAGGACCUUUUUAAGGUGGUAGACCUAGGUUAAGGGAAAUAACUCUUAAAAUCAUCAGUACGUUUGUGUCAGCCAUUUUCAUAAAUACGUUCUAAGCUUCUAGGAUACAUAGAUUAUUUUCAAUCUGUGUCAGGUAAAUGCUUAAAAUACAUUAAUAAAACUUGACUAUUACAAACGCAUCACUGAAUUAAAGAGUUAUCUCCCUGGACCAAGGUCUACCCCCUUAAUAUCAAACUUAUUCAUAGCUAAAUUAUUGUGUGGUUAAUGAAGAAAUUCCUAAUUUACCACACAAAUUUCGUUAUGUAUUUUCAUUGAUAAACUGAUUUCUAAACUUACAAACCAAAUAUAACUUUUGUUUUAAAUGUUCUAACUCUUGGGUUUGUUUCUUUUACAUCUCUAAUAAUACACCAUAGAGUGUGUACAUUGUUAUGAUGUUAUAGGAGUAUUCUAAAAAAAAAAUUCAGUUUUCAAUGCUUUCAUUGCAUAUACAAGAUGUUAAUCUUAAAUUUUCCUCCCAAGAGCUGUCAGAUAGCCUUGGAAUUUCAAUUUGAAUUUCAACUUUUUUAACUUCACUUAACACAUUUAAUUUGAACUCUUGUCAGACAAUAAAUAAAGUCAACAUGAAAAUUCUAUGUUAUGGGAAGUAGGAUAAAAAUUGAUUAUAAUCUCUUGUGGUUUAUUUCUUAACUACUGAAGAAAUAUAAAUUUCACAGUUUGUCAAAGUUAAUUCUGUAGAAUUCUGAUUUAUUUGAUUGUGCUGUCUGAUUUUCAAAUUAUAUUCAGUAGAUGGGUCUCAAAUAUGGUUUAGAUAACAUAAACUAUCGUAGAAAAUGUCAAUUAUGAUCAAGUCAAUCAUGGGUUCAAUGUCAUGAUAUAAAUUAUGCUUUUCAACACAUUUCAUAUAUCAUUUAAUUAAUUUUAAUUGUAUAUUUCUAAAUGUUUUGCACAUUUUCAAUUCUUCGUAGUUGUUUACAAGGUUACGUCGUUGUAAACAUGAUACAACACAUAAAAAUAGAUUUUCUUGUACACAGUCGUGUAUAAUGCAUAAGUGGCAUUUUUAGCCAGAUAUACCACAAGUUAGAAUAGAAGGGGCAUGAUCUUAGAUAUUCAACUUUUAUAAACAAAUCUUAGACAUCAUAUACUAUUUAAGUUUUUAGAAUUUAAAAAAAAAAAUCUUUCUUGCAAAUUAUUUAUGAAAAGUAAAAUUAUAUACUUACUUAAAAUAUCACUAGUGUAGUUAUGAAAUAAUUUCUUUAAACCAUGUAGUGUAGACUACUCUUAUAAUACUCAAAACCUGAUAUUAUUUUAAAUUUCAAUCAAUUGUUGAUAUUAUUCUGUUUUUAAAACCAAAUUAUAUUUCUGGGAAACUGGAGAAAAAAAUCUUGUUAUUGUUUUGUUUAAAAUGUUUAUACCUCUCAAUGAAAAAGGUUUUUAUUUAUUGAUAAUAAAUAAUCUACUGCUUUUUUUGCAAACAAAUUUUAAUAUGAAUUUAAUACAUUAAAAGUGCAAAAAAUAAUUGAUUUUUACCAAAUCUUUGAGAGAUUAAAAAUGUUCCAAUUUUAGGGUUGAAUUGUUGUGUGAUUCUCUCCUGUGACUGAUUAAAAUACUGUUUUUAAAAUCUUUCCUAAUUUUAUCAUUGUACAUGCAUUCAGGGAAAAACCUCUCAUUACUUUGUGUAUAUAUAUAAUUGUUAUUUAUAUUAUGGAGUUGUAGAAACCUUUUUUUUUUCAUUUGUUAUUGCAUUGAAUUAACUGUUUGAAAUGCAAGCACAAAAAACCAAGAAUUGUAAUAAACAUCACUAUUUCAAAGUAAAA